GCCUAACAUCUAGCCCACCCCCCUCGCAUGACACCUCCCCCUUCCCCCCCACCCCCCCCCCCAAAAAAACAUUUUACUUUUUAGUACAGGCGAUCGAAAAAAUUAUAAGCGUUUCAGAUUAAGUACCGCAAGGGGAGUGAUGAAAUAAAAAUGAAAUAACUUUAAAGCCAUAAACAGCAGAGACACCCCUUCGUACUUUUGCAUCAUGGUCUAGCUGGUCUAACCAAGCAAAAUGAGAACUUUAGUUUGACAUCCCGAAACUAAGUGAGUUACUUCAAAACAGCCUUAAGGGCCCAACCCGUUUCUGUUGCAAAAGAGUGGGAAGAUUUUCAAGUAGAGGUGACAAGCCUACCGAACCUAGAGAUAGCUGGUUAUUCAGGAAAAGAGUUUUAGUUCUGCUUUAAGUCUUCUUAUUAAUCUAAACAAAAUUUUAAACUUAAAAGUUACUCAAGUAAGGUUCAGCUUACUUGAAACAGGAUACAACCUUAAAUAUUGGGUAAAUAAGGGAAACUCAGACAAAGUGGGCCUAAAAGCAGCCACCUUAUAAAAAGCGUUAAAGCUUAAUCACUAACCUACCCAUAAUUCCUCAAAUCCUUAUAAACCCCUCACCCCUACUGAAUCAUUUUAUAUUAUUAUAAAAACUAUUAUGCUAGAACUAUUAACAAGAAACCGCCUUUCUCCUUAAUGUAAGCCAGAACCGUAAUAAACCCUAUCGGUAUUUAACGUUCAUGCCUUAAUAAUAGCAACAUACAACUAGAAAACCUAUAACCUCAACGUCAACCUUACACUAGAACAUUACAGGAAAGAUAAAAGAAAGAGAAGA
RNAcentral lists this ribosomal RNA (823 nucleotides) under Sanguirana mearnsi (Cabilian frog). RNAcentral describes it as "Sanguirana albotuberculata (Cabilian frog) partial 16S ribosomal RNA". The stretch from base 254 to 371 matches the Rfam family "Bacterial large subunit ribosomal RNA", at positions 714 to 852 of the family's 2925-position model. Lineage: Eukaryota; Metazoa; Chordata; Amphibia; Anura; Ranidae. The record is from RNAcentral.